This 385-nucleotide ribosomal RNA is filed under the name Leptographium lundbergii. RNAcentral's name for it is "eukaryotic LSU rRNA". It matches the Rfam family "Eukaryotic large subunit ribosomal RNA", at positions 1 to 387 of the family's 3401-position model. Lineage: Eukaryota; Fungi; Ascomycota; Sordariomycetes; Ophiostomatales; Ophiostomataceae. The record is from RNAcentral.
UUGACCUCGGAUCAGGUAGGACUACCCGCUGAACUUAAGCAUAUCAAUAAGCGGAGGAAAAGAAACCAACAGGGAUUGCCCCAGUAACGGCGAGUGAAGCGGCAACAGCUCAGAUUUGGAAUCUGGUCCCCAGGGCCCGAGUUGUAAUCUGGAGAGGAUGCUUCUGGCGCGGCGCCUUCCGAGUUCCCUGGAACGGGACGCCGGAGAGGGUGAGAGCCCCGUACGGUUGGACGCCUAGCCUUUGUGAAGCUCCUUCGACGAGUCGAGUAGUUUGGGAAUGCUGCUCAAAAUGGGAGGUAAAUUUCUUCUAAAGCUAAAUACCGGCCAGAGACCGAUAGCGCACAAGUAGAGUGAUCGAAAGAUGAAAAGCACUUUGAAAAGAGGG